CAAUAAGCGGAGGAAAAGAAACCAACAGGGAUUGCCUUAGUAACGGCGAGUGAAGCGGCAAAAGCUCAGAUUUGAAAUCUGGUGUCAUUUUGGCAUCCGAGUUGUAGUCUGUAGAGGUGUAUUCGAGUGUAGCUUUGGCUUAAGUUCCUUGGAACAGGACGUCAUAGAGGGUGAGAACCCCGUUAACGGCCUUUGUCUUAUGCUCAUGUGAAUCUCCUUCAACGAGUCGAGUUGUUUGGGAAUGCAGCUCUAAAUGGGUGGUAAAUUCCAUCUAAAGCUAAAUACUGGCAAGAGACCGAUAGCGCACAAGUAGAGUGAUCGAAAGAUGAAAAGAACUCUGAACAGAGAGUUAAAUAGUACGUGAAAUUGUUGAAAGGGAAGCACUUGCAACCAGACGCACUUGCAGCCGAUCAAUUCUCAUUUUUGAGGGUGCACUCGGUUGUCUGUGGGUCAGCAUCAGUUAUAGUGGUAGGAAAAAGACUCAGGGAAUGUAGCUUCUUUCGGGGAGUGUUAUAGCCUUUUGUGCAAUGCUGCCUGCUGUGACUGAGGACCGCGCUUUGGCGAGGAUGCUGGCAUAAUGGUUGUAAGUGACCCGUCUUGAAACACGGACCAAC
This 614-nucleotide ribosomal RNA is filed under the name Terfezia boudieri. RNAcentral describes it as "eukaryotic LSU rRNA". It matches the Rfam family "Eukaryotic large subunit ribosomal RNA", at positions 44 to 670 of the family's 3401-position model. The record is from RNAcentral. Lineage: Eukaryota; Fungi; Ascomycota; Pezizomycetes; Pezizales; Pezizaceae.